GGCUCAGUGUUUGUGAUUCUCGCUUUGGGUGCGAGAGGCCACGGGUUCGAUUCCUGUCUGAGCCC
Molecule: transfer RNA, 65 nt
Filed under: Nematostella vectensis (starlet sea anemone)
Lineage: Eukaryota; Metazoa; Cnidaria; Anthozoa; Actiniaria; Edwardsiidae
Rfam family: tRNA
About the family: Transfer RNA (tRNA) molecules are approximately 80 nucleotides in length. Their secondary structure includes four short double-helical elements and three loops (D, anti-codon, and T loops).
Source: Rfam by way of RNAcentral